Nicotiana tabacum (common tobacco) is the source of this 3237-nucleotide non-coding RNA. The record is from RefSeq and is a predicted model, not a curated record. NCBI's taxonomy places the organism in Eukaryota, Viridiplantae, Streptophyta, Magnoliopsida, Solanales, Solanaceae.
AGUGGGCGCUGUUCUAUCUUUCGAGUCAUGUCCUAAAAGAUAUCCUUCCAAAUCAAAAACUAUCCCUCUCUUCCAAUCAAAACUUAAUACUACUCUAUAUAAUAAAAAUACCACUUGAUCAGUCUUUCUAGAAAACCCUAAAACAUGUCGGGCGGGUUUUUCCGGGGCACGUCGGCCGAGCAGGACACUCGGUUCUCUAAUAAGCAAGCCAAGCUGUUGAAAUCUCAGAAGUUCGCUCCUGAAUUGGAACAUCUGGUGGACAUGACCAAGGUGAAGAUGGAUGUAAUGAAACCAUGGAUUGCCAAACGAGUUACCGAGCUUAUUGGUUUUGAAGAUGAAGUUCUUAUCAAUUUCAUUUAUGGCCUUCUUGAACGAAAGGUAGUUAACGGCAAGGAGGUUCAAAUUUCACUUACUGGAUUCAUGGAAAGAAACACUGGCAAAUUUAUGAAAGAGCUUUGGGCGCUACUACUUAGUGCACAGAACAAUGCAAGCGGUGUUCCUCAGCAGUUCCUAGAAGCCAAAGAAGAGGAAAUGAGAAAGAAGAAGGCUGAGACUGAUCGAAUUGCCAAUGAGAUUCAGAAGAAAAAGGAGAGAGAGAGUAGGGAGCUGGAUCAAGAGAAAAGGAAGAUGAUGGACGAUUAUGCCAGCAAUUCGAGACAAAAAAAUGCUGCACUGGAGCCAAGUCCGAAACACCAGCCUCGGGUGCGCUCGACAGAUGAUUUAGACCAUGUUGACAGAAAUGGCUCAAGAAGAAUACACAGGGUCUCUAGAUCCCCACGUUCAGCACAUCAUUCACCCUCCCCGAGGAGAUCAAGGUCAAUCAGCAAGUCAUUUUCUAAUUCAAGGAGUUAUUCUGGUGAAAGGCGCAGGUCACGAAGUACAUCCGGAUCUCCUUUAGAACGGAGAGGUCGCUCACUUUCAUCUGAAAGGGUAUACCGCUCUCCACCAAGGCGCUCUGUUUCACCUCGUAGGAAGCAUUCACCUCAACAAUCUCUCUCUCCACCAAGACACAGGCAAAGAUCAACCUCCCGAGUACGUCAAGGGUCACCUUCUGUUGCGCGGUAUCGAAGACGUUCUCCAUUCCGACGUAGGAGGUCUCCCAUUCGAUGUAGAUCGAGGUCUCCCAUUCAACGUAGAUCGAGAUCUCCGAUUAGGCGUAGAUCACGAUCCCCUAUGUGGCGUAGGUCACGGUCUCCAAGUAGACGCUCACCAGUGCGAUAUAGAUCAAGGUCAUCUAUUAGAUGUCGAUCACCACUUCGGCGCAGAACACCGAAUCCCACAAAACGUAGGUCCCCUUCUCCGGUGGGUCGGGGUUACCACCGAUCUCCAUUGAGUCCUCGAAGUUCUCUAUCUCCAGCUCAACGAAAAUCCUUCAUAUCUGGCAGGAAAAGAUCCUUAACAUCUGCCAGAAGGUCUAUUUCACCUCAAGGAUCACUUUCUCCCUCACCCAUUUACCACAAGUUUCCUUCACCAAUCAGAAAGAGAAUAUUGAAGAAUGAAAGUUCACCAGUUCAAUCUCCUCGGGGAAGGAUAAGGAGCCGUGAAAAAUACUCCCCUAUUCGACAUGCCCCUCCAGUAAAAACUGAGGCGCAUAAAGGAUCCAGAUCAUUGGAACGUAGACGUCCUAUUUCUUCUAGGUCACCACAGAGGGACAUAUAUGACCUUAAGGAUUCACGAAAAAAAGAGUCGCUUUUGCCUCCUCGGCGACGGCGGUCACCAUCUGUUUCAGAAUCUCCACGCUCCAGAUCGGCCUCAGAAUCUCUACCAACAAAAAGGGAAAGGAGUCCUAGUGAAAAUAGAGGGCCAAGGAGUACUUUGAACCAGAGGGAGAGAAAGACAAUUGACACUGACAGCCCAAAUCCCAGGAAAUUGAGAGAGCACAGAGUUAGUUCUAACAUUUCUGAGAAAAUUGCAGAUGAGAAAGAAAUGAACCAUUCAAGGGAGGCCUUUGAGCAUAAACCUAGGUCUUCAAGAAAAAUUCCUACAACACCUGAUCCAAAUAAAGAUCUUGGAAAGGGGCGGGAUGAGGAAGAAUUUUCUGAAUUUCAUAGCCAUUCAGAUCGCUUGGAGUCAAGAAAGCGAAAUGAAGUGAUGAAGAGUGAAAAAUUUUCCGCAAUGAUGGAGCAAACAAAGGAGCUGGAUCAACAAAAGUCACCAUCAAUCCAUAGACACUCUCAUUCAGUUAAGAGGGAAAGGGAAUCAUAUGCCGGGGAGAGCUUCAAAGCAGAGAAGGAAAACCUGUCUCAUGCAAACUAUAUCAAGGGCAAAGAGCUACUUGAGUCAGAAACUCCCCUCACUUCAUCAAGGAAAGCUGAGCAGAAUGAUCAAAGUGGUGAUGAUGGUUCUGGUUCUGAGGAAAGUGAAAAGCGUAGAGCUAAAGUUAAGGAAAAAAGAAAGCAUAAGAGGUCUGGCAAAUACGAGUCAUCGUCAGAUGAUAGUUAUGACUCUGAUGUUGAGGGUAGGAAGGAGGCUAAAAGGAGGAGGAAAGAGGAGAGGAGAUGGAAGAAAGAGGAGAAGCGUAGGCGGCGGGAGGAGAGACAGCGCAGAAAGGAAGAAAGGCAUGCCCAGAAACUAAAAUUGAAGUCAGCUAAUGCCAUGUCUUCGCCAUCAGAUACAGAGAGAAAUCCUGAUUGCCAUGCUUCUUAUGAUGAGCAUCUGAGGAAGGGGGAUGUCGAGGAGUCAGAGUCCGUGCAGAAAAGGCUUGAGAUUGAGCUGCGGGAGAAGGCUCUUGAAUCUCUCAGAGCAAAAAAGGGCAUCAGCCAUUAAGAUUCUUGCUGCUUUUGGACAUUAUUGAGCUGCUAUUCUUGUCUUAAUAGUCUUCUCUUUCAGCUUGCUUUAUCUAACUAGAACUAAAUGUUUACUAUGGAUAUGUUUAUGAUAUUUAAUGUAGUCUAUCUUUACCCCUGGCAGCUGAAUUGCAUUAAAGAGGGUUUCCUGAGCUAGUGUCUUGACAUCAACUUUAUGCUGACCUACCUGCUAAACAUUCUGAUCAUAAUAUUGUCCACUAGAUGACCUCGUUGAGCAGACAUGUGCAGCUCGAUAUGUGGAUCUCCAAUACAGGUCUCAUGGUAUUGAGUGCUGAUUUACCUUGUCUGGCUGGCAGCUCGACUUGCUCUCCAGAAUGUGAUUUGCUUUUUAUGAUGAUCUGAGUUCGUGUUCGUUUUGUCACUGUGUUUGUAUCAGUAGUUAAGACAAUACUGGUGCAUUAUAUUGUUUCUUAUUAUCUUGCUAGUGUUA